UAAAAUGCAGCUGAAACCACUCAGCGUUGACCGGCGCUGCAGCGCUGUUUUCUUCAUGCACUGUCAAGCUGUAUGUGGCGCGAAACACUGUGAACUUUCAACCCUGAAGAUAAUGCAGACCUAACGUCUACAUUGGAAGAAAGCGCCAUCAGUCACAAAUGCUGCUUCGUCAUUGGUUAACUCAUAAGGGGGAGGCUGACCUAACGACGUCAAGUCGUACUACUCAUGAAGUUGGUGUCAGGAAGAAUGGAGGAAGAAACCGUUUCAGGACAAAAAAGAGGAUUGAAUGGCCCAGCAGGAAAUAAUAAAAAAGAGAUGCCCAAAAGAGCGCGAUACCCACCGAAGAAGAUGAGCUUUUAUGACCCAGACUUACCCAGAGAUGACCAAGCUUACACCAUGCGCUGCAGUACGCUGGAUGAUUGGACACCAGUCGAAAAAAGCCUUGAUCAACAAAUGUCGCAUGAGGGGUACAACAUAAAUUCUAGAUGUACUUAGACAUUUGUUGCAGUGUUCAAAGCCCUAAUACUGCUGGGCUUAGAGACUUAAUUUUUGUUUGCUGUCUUAAAAACUGUGUUGAACUUUUGUUAAUAUUAUGGCUGUUGAUGUUAUUAUAGCUAUUUGAAAUGUUGUAAAUUGUUUGCACUUUGUUUUUUGUUGGUGUUAAUUAAAAAAUGUUUGCCCGCCUGUCUGCCUUGCCUCCAUUUGCCUGCGUUUGGGUCCGCACCACUUGCCCGCCCACAUUCUUUGACCAAAAUUCUCAACAGUACUCAAUUUUCAAGUACAAUGACUGUGUUGGAAUUCAC
This is a long non-coding RNA of Corythoichthys intestinalis (scribbled pipefish), 803 nucleotides long. RefSeq lists it as uncharacterized. Lineage: Eukaryota; Metazoa; Chordata; Actinopteri; Syngnathiformes; Syngnathidae. The record is from RefSeq and is a predicted model, not a curated record. The transcript is spliced from 3 exons.